CCUAUUGAUGAUGAAGACCUAAUCGAGCAAAUCCUUGCUGGUCUUCCUGAAGACUACAAACCAGAGGUGGAUGCAGUCAACAGUCGUGACAACUUGAUC
Arabis alpina (gray rockcress) is the source of this 99-nucleotide small nucleolar RNA. It matches the Rfam family "Small nucleolar RNA Z247". From Rfam's summary of the family: Z247 is a member of the C/D class of snoRNA which contain the C (UGAUGA) and D (CUGA) box motifs. Most of the members of the box C/D family function in directing site-specific 2'-O-methylation of substrate RNAs. The record is from Rfam. NCBI's taxonomy places the organism in Eukaryota, Viridiplantae, Streptophyta, Magnoliopsida, Brassicales, Brassicaceae.